CAACCUGGAUCACCAGCUAAGGCCCCUAAAUGACUGCUCAGUGAUAAAGGAGGUAGGGGUGCAAAGACAGCCAGGAGGUUUGCCUAGAAGCAACCACCCUUGAAAAAGUGCGUAAUAGCUCACUAAUCGAGCGCACUUGCACCAAAGAUGAAUUGGGCUAAGCGAUCUGUUGAAGCUAUGGGAUGUCAAAAUGCAUCGAUAGGGGAGCGUUCCGCCUUAGAGGGAAGCACCUGCACGAGUAGUGGUGGAAGAGGCGGAAGCGGGAAUGUCGGCUUUUUUAAGGCAAACAUUGGUGAGAAUCCAAUGCCCUGAAAAUCGCUCUGUGGGGGUUCCUCCGCAAGGUUCAUCCACGGAGGGUGAGUUAGGGCCUAAGAUUAGGCCGAAAGGUGUAGUCGAUGGACAAGAGGUGAAUAUUCCAGUACUACCUCUUGUUGGUCCCGAGGGACGGAGGAGGCUAGGUUAGCCGAAAAAUGGUUA
RNAcentral lists this non-coding RNA (477 nucleotides) under Cucumis melo (muskmelon). RNAcentral describes it as "Bacterial large subunit ribosomal RNA". It matches the Rfam family "Bacterial large subunit ribosomal RNA", at positions 1023 to 1504 of the family's 2925-position model. The record is from Rfam by way of RNAcentral. Lineage: Eukaryota; Viridiplantae; Streptophyta; Magnoliopsida; Cucurbitales; Cucurbitaceae.